This 777-nucleotide ribosomal RNA is filed under the name uncultured bacterium. Its description in RNAcentral is "bacterial SSU rRNA". It matches the Rfam family "Bacterial small subunit ribosomal RNA", at positions 98 to 874 of the family's 1533-position model. The record is from RNAcentral.
GCGCACGGGAGAGUAAACGCGUAAGCAACCUACCUAUCAGAGGGGAAUAACCCGGCGAAAGUCGGACUAAUACCGCAUAAAACAGGGGUUCCACAUGGAAAUAUUUGUUAAAGAAUUAUCGCUGAUAGAUGGGCAUGCGUUCCAUUAGAUAGUUGGUGAGGUAACGGCUCACCAAGUCCACGAUGGAUAGGGGUUCUGAGAGGAAGGUCCCCCACACUGGUACUGAGACACGGACCAGACUCCUACGGGAGGCAGCAGUGAGGAAUAUUGGUCAAUGGGCGAGAGCCUGAACCAGCCAAGUCGCGUGAAGGAUGAAGGAUCUAUGGUUUGUAAACUUCUUUUAUAUGGGAAUAAAGUGAGGAACGUGUUCCUUUUUGUAUGUACCAUAUGAAUAAGCAUCGGCUAACUCCGUGCCAGCAGCCGCGGUAAUACGGAGGAUGCGAGCGUUAUCCGGAUUUAUUGGGUUUAAAGGGUGCGUAGGUGGUUAAUUAAGUCAGCGGUGAAAGUUUGUGGCUCAACCAUAAAAUUGCCGUUGAAACUGGUUGACUUGAGUAUAUUUGAGGUAGGCGGAAUGCGUGGUGUAGCGGUGAAAUGCAUAGAUAUCACGCAGAACUCCGAUUGCGAAGGCAGCUUACUAAACUAUAACUGACACUGAAGCACGAAAGCGUGGGGAUCAAACAGGAUUAGAUACCCUGGUAGUCCACGCAGUAAACGAUGAUUACUAGCUGUUUGCGAUACACAGUAAGCGGCACAGCGAAAGCGUUAAGUAAUCCACCU